Armigeres subalbatus is the source of this 771-nucleotide long non-coding RNA. RefSeq lists it as uncharacterized. The record is from RefSeq and is a predicted model, not a curated record. Lineage: Eukaryota; Metazoa; Arthropoda; Insecta; Diptera; Culicidae. The transcript has 3 exons.
CUGUCUUCUCGGUGCUCCUUGAGUGCUCUCGGUGAGAAAAUAAACGUGGGCAAAAGCGACGAUGUUGGUUUACUUUUUUCAAAAACGGUGGUCGUGACUACAAAGGUGUGUCGUAGAAAAAUCCUCAUCGAACGGGAGAAAAAACGCAUGGAAAAAAGAUGCGUUAAAAAAAGAUGGAGAUUGAACGUUUGCUGUCCGACACCGCCUCGGUUGUGUCCUCCGAUGUCCUACGAUCGAAGUAUACUGCUCGAGUGUUGCAAGGGAAAAAGUCCUGUUUGCCGAUGGUGUAGGGUUUGAGGACGAAUCCUCGUCAUCUGGUGCUGAAACAAUAAAAUCACCUGCCAACAUUUCCGCUUCCAAGAAACUGCGUCGGAAACGUACCUUAAAAGCAAUUGCUAGGAAGCGGUUAAUAGAUCGUUUAUAGCAGUGGUCCCCAGGAUGCUUACUAUGAAGGGCCGCACAGACGUUUUGAGCUGUUGAAGCGGGCCGCAGUAAAUUUGCAAGAUUUGUAGCGGACUUGACAUAAGAAAAUGUUUUUUCGCCAUAUAUAGCAUCUUGUCGGCUCAUUUGGCAGAAAAUAUUCUAUGCUUUUUCCCAAAUAAUCAAGUGACAACUAAUUCUGUAAUUUUGAUCUCAUGUUUUUCAUACUUGUUGUUCGUAGCAAAUAACAAAGGGAUUCUUAAAAACUCUCUAAGCAGCAUCCGCUCGAUAUUCAAAGCAAAAUUCGUUUAAGUUCAACCGUCUAAGACGAAUUAAGUACUCUCCAUUUAA